CUCCUUUAGUAGAGAUUUUAAAAUUAAUUCAUUAAACAUAAUUUAAACUAUUAGAGUUUAUAGAAAAGAUCUAUUUAAUUAAGUUUUGAUAUUAGAAUAUUAGUCACCUAAUAUAAGUUACAGUGUAUAAAGUAUCAAUAUACACUAGGAACAUAUAAUAAUCUUUUCUUUCUCCAAUCAAUUUUACCAAGGUAAAAAUACUCCCACAUAUUUUUUCCAUUUGAAAUAUGUCCUCAACUUUAAUUAUUUAGUUAAAA
RNAcentral lists this long non-coding RNA (257 nucleotides) under Ananas comosus (pineapple). RNAcentral's name for it is "long non-coding RNA (ACOM_LNC001904)". Lineage: Eukaryota; Viridiplantae; Streptophyta; Magnoliopsida; Poales; Bromeliaceae. The record is from RNAcentral.